RNAcentral lists this ribosomal RNA (460 nucleotides) under uncultured bacterium. RNAcentral describes it as "partial 16S ribosomal RNA". It matches the Rfam family "Bacterial small subunit ribosomal RNA", at positions 338 to 795 of the family's 1533-position model. The record is from RNAcentral.
CCUACGGGAGGCAGCAGUGAGGAAUCUUGGUCAAUGGACGGAAGUCUGAACCAGCCAUGCCGCGUGCCGGAAGACGGCUCUAUGAGUUGUAAACUGCUUUUGUACAAGGGUAAACCUGAAUACUUGUAUCCAGCUGAAAGUACUGUACUAAUAAUGUUCGGCUAACGCCGUUCCAGCAGCCGCGGUAAUACUGAGGAGCCAAGCGUUAUCCGGAAUUUUUGGGUGUAAAGGGCGUGCAGCCUGGAAGACAAGUCAGAUGUGAAAUCCCGCGGCUCAACCGGGGAACUGCAUUUGAAACUGUGUUUCUUGAGUACCGGAGAGGUCAUCGGAAUUCCUUGUGUAGCGGUGAAAUGCGUAGAUAUAAGGAAGAACACCAGUGGCGAAGGCGGAUGACUGGACGGCAACUGACGGUGAGGCGCGAAAGCGUGGGGAGCAAACAGGAUUAGAUACCCUGGUAGUC